Long non-coding RNA from Ahaetulla prasina, 574 nucleotides. RefSeq lists it as uncharacterized. The record is from RefSeq and is a predicted model, not a curated record. NCBI's taxonomy places the organism in Eukaryota, Metazoa, Chordata, Lepidosauria, Squamata, Colubridae. The transcript has 3 exons.
UACCAUAUUUGGACUGCAAGGAUCCAGAUGAUAAAGCAACAGUGUUGGAAUUUUCCAUAUCUCUUUCCUUACUUCUAGGGUACAUCUGUAUUUUCCCCAACUUGCCAUGGUAGGUUAUGCAAAAGGACUUCAUAAUCUUUUGUGCUAGCCCCAAAUCUGCUUCAAGAUAUCCUCUGGGCCAAAACUUCAAAAACUUGGGAUCAUGAUUCAUAUUUUAGGGCAACCAGAGUCCAUGUUUUGUGAGAUGAUAGCAAUAUAAAUAUGAUGAAUAAAUAAAUAUACCCCAUGGGAGCAUGCAGGAAUACAAAGAUGGGCAAAUGAUGAAAUAUGUAUUGUGAUUUGCCCUUUAUACAUCAUGAUGUCAUGCACAGGCGCUAUCAGCUGACGAUGCAAGUCUGAGUUUCAGAUCAAAAGACUCAUAUCACGCAAAGUUUGUGGAUACUCUGGAAAGCAAAUUCCACAAGACCUUCUGAAGAAAUUCCUCACCUUGCAAUUAUGUUCACAUUCAUGCAUAGCAAUUGAUACCCUUUAUGCAAAGGUUUAGCCAUUUAGUUUGGCAUGUAUUUCAUUUAAU